UUAAGACGGUGAAUAGAUCUUAUUCAAGAAAUGGAGUGCCAUACAGAUUAUGGAAACCAUCUACAAUUCAACAAGAUGUUGAGUAUUGAUUCAACUUUUAGCCUGGGAGAUAAAAAGCUAAAGCCAAAGCUGUAAAUAGACAGGCCAGCUUAACAAGCGGACAUUCUCUGCUGCCGGCAGUACCAAUUUGUCAUCCAAGCAACAAAUAUUCCUUGGUAAUCUAUCAGAUAACAGUUUUCUCGUUGGCAUUUUUAUGAAUGAAAGCUUUCAAGGCCUAAUGUUUUGGUCAAGUUUCAGAUUUGUUUAGCAUAAUCCUGUACUACAUAUUAACAAAUGUUUGGUCUGUCUGGUUCAUCUCUUAACACUAUGAAGAUGGCUACACACUAUCAGCAGUGCACCCCUAUUGAUAUACGAGUCUUCAUUGCCAAGUCACUCUGCCAAACACCUUUCUUGCAAUGGUAGUGACCCACUUUACUGUACUUCAAUGACUUCAGGAGUCUGGAUAUGUCAGCCCAAGGUCAAGGAGAUCAAGUUUGUGUCCAAGGUUACUUAGGUAAUUCUCUAAGGACAAUAGACAGACACUACAUGUUGCUGAUCUGUGGGUUAGUGGCUCAAUCAUUGUGCAUUGAUUCUCCACUGUUGCCUUGAUUGCCACAAGUUUAUCUACGACCUACAGGUCAAGGGAGGUCAAUUAGACAUGAGGUCAAGAAAAAAGGAUGAACAUUUCAAGGCUGCAGUAAGAACAUUAAACAUCUUUCUCACUGUGAAAAGAUUCUACCGAUCUACAAAUGGUCAACAUGUUUUAUCUAAAGUUCAUCUGCCAUUUCUUCAAAUGGAGCCAUAGUCAGAAUAAGAGUGGAAAUCAAAGCAAGAGAAUCCCAGGCAGUGCACCAUUCCUUCAUUAGGAAGAACUGUUUCCACAAGCAUUAAUUUUAGAUUAUUUUCAAAAAUAUUUGUAGGACCUAUUUUUCUUGUUAGUACACUAGGCAUUAGUAAGUUUUAUAGGCCAAGCUUGAGUGCUGUAUCAAGCAUGGUCAUGCAAUCUUUAAGGCAAACUGUCACUUUGAGACAUUAUAUUUAACAGGAAGCGUGGUCGAGAGGCCAAGUGCGCUUGAACUUGGCUUGGCUUCGCUUCGCUACCUAGAAGGGGGCUCGAGGUUCGACACCCGACUCGGGCAGAGUUGUGUUUACUGAGCGCCUAAAGGCAGCACGGAAAACAAACUCCUAGAUACCCCCCCACCCGUCCACAAAUGAGAUUGGACCAAAAGCGCUCUGAGCAUGCUAUAAGCAUGAAAGUAGCGCUAUAUAAAAGCUAUAAUAAAAAAAUUAAAAAAAAACAGCACUAAAUAAAUAAAAUUAUUUCUCGUAAUUCCUAUUUGUGCUCUAGAUUCGCUGUAUGUUUUCUGAUCAGAAGAUGGUUAUUCCAGGUUGAACCUAUUAGAAAUUAUUAAAAAAACAUUUCUUUCUUUAUUUUUUUUAACCCUCAGAUUAUUUUUCACUGGCAAUGAGGAAUUGUGAUUGGAAAGCUCUUUACUUCAUGUCUAUUGGACAAGAAUUUUAGAAAUCUGUGCAUGUGUUAUCCAUUGUUUAAAAUGUUUUAUAAUAAAAUUUCAUUUUAAAAAUGUUUUUAUAUAUAUACUGUAUUAAAUUGUUAAAUGUAUGAUUACUGUUUCCUAAACUAAUUGUGAUUGGAAAGCUCUUUACUUCAUGUCUAUCGGACAAGAAUUUUAGAAAUCUGUGCAUGUGCUAUCCAUUGUUUAAAAUGUUUUGUAAUAAAAUUUCAUUUUAAAAAUGUUUUUAUAUAUAUACUGUAUUAUAUUGUUAAAUGUAUGAUUACUGUUUCCUAAACUAGGUCUAGUAAAUUAUAGUAGAGAUACAAAAGAUGCUUUGUUCAGAUAAAUAAUUUGUCUAGAUAGUGUUUAUAUAUAUAUUUUUAUUCAUUAUCCCAAAGAGCCAUUUCUUAAACAGGGCACUUUUUUUUGGGACUUGUCUAUUGUUGACAUUUACAUUUUUUUAAAGCAUGAGAUGAUGCCAAAGUGUGUGUUGGGUUUAUUUUGCAAGUUUUUGAGAAUCAAAAUUUUAAUUUUACAUGUAUACACUAAUUUAAAGGAACUUUUUGAACGAAAGUGCCUAAGAAAAAUUGAAAAAAUCAUGGAAGACAGCGGCCACCCGCUCCAUCAGAACUACGUCAGGUCGUCGCGAAGUGGGCGACUGCUGUCAAUCAAAACAAGAACGGAACGGUACAAAAACUCAUUAGUACCUCACUCCUUCAGACUCUAUCACCGCCACUCAUUGAUCAGGGAACAUGAAAAGCACCAAGAUACCUGUGUGUAGUCGCUGAAUGAACUCUAUGUUGUCUGUUGUAUUUAUGUGUAUUUUUCUGUUGUGUUGUCUUUAUAUGAGAAAAGAGUCCUUGUAAUCACAAGAAGUUUCCGUAAAGAUCAAUAAAGCAGUCUUAGUCCUAGUAUUAGUAUUAGUCUUAAUUUUAAUUUAUAUUGAAAUGAAAAGCAUUUAAACAUUGAUUACCAAAAUAUUAUUGUACAAUAUGAAAUCUAGAUGAAAUUUGUUAUCAGUUGUUAAAUAGCUUACAUUCAUCAUUUUCUCAUUAUGUAGAUACAACACUUAAAAUGGUUGUACAAACCACUAAAGUAUGUAAAAUUUUGUUUAAAUUAUGUG
Long non-coding RNA from Biomphalaria glabrata, 2676 nucleotides. RefSeq lists it as uncharacterized. The record is from RefSeq and is a predicted model, not a curated record. The transcript has 8 exons. NCBI's taxonomy places the organism in Eukaryota, Metazoa, Mollusca, Gastropoda, Planorbidae.